AGUUCACUCCUAUGUGGAAUCUAAAAAAAAAAAAAAAAAAAAAAAAAAAGAAAGAAAUGAAUAAGCGAGCAAAAAAGCAGAAUCAGACCUGUAAACACAAAGCACAACUAGCAUAAUGUUUAAACUUGUUGAGUCACUAGGCUGUACAUCUGAAACUCAUGUAACAUAGUGUGUCUACUAUACUCAAAUAAAAAAAUUAAAAUAACCUAAGUUAAGCUUUACUUUAUUAAGGGUUUUUAAAAAGCGUGUUUAAUCGUUUCCACCAACUGGCACAUUAUAAAAACACAAUUCAUUUUACCUUAGCCCUUCUUUCAUGGCUUAGGUAUUUCUCUGAAACUGUUUGAAACACACAUGAAGAAAGGUAAGAGAUAUUACAUGGCUGCUAAAGAAGAAAGUAUAAUAUUAACUGCAUUAGCAUCAGAAUAAUUUAUAUUCUGAGCAAGAAAACUCAUUAAUGGCCAUGAGCAAUGUUUGCUAAUAAAGCAGCUGAGACAUGAGCCUGAUGAACUGGGGGAGAGCAGGGAAGUUUGCUGUUUGGUGUCCUUCCUGCAGUACCUCCAGGUGUUCUUCCAGGGUCCUUAGGGAACAUCUUCCCUGUGCUUUGUCAUUCCUUCAUGUUUCUCCCUCCCAACAUGGGCUUCAAGGACUGGAAUUCAGAGGAGAUAAGCUUUCUGGCCAUGUCAUUCUGGGCCAUUGCUGAGUUCAAGGUCCUCUUCCUGCUCCUUUUCACCUAGAGUUGUGUAGAGCUGGGGGCUGGGCUGGGCUUGAGGACUGGGAGGUGGGGGGAGUGUUCUUGCAGGUCCAGCCUUCCCUCCUCUAGGAAGUUCCUGGAUUAAAAGCUAAUAGAUGGCAGGGCUCAUGUCUUCCUUCAUUUCUGUGUGCAUGUGUGAAAAUGAAGUGUCAUAAAUACAACUUGUGUAGCCCAGUUCCUGGCACUUAGGAGGAGCACAGUCAAAUUUGUUUUCCUUCCCUCAGUCUUUUCAUCAAACUCCCCUAAUGUCUCUUAGGUCUUGAGGAGACUCCCUCAAGCAGACUUGAGGGCAGGGAUUGGUGGGGGCCAUGUUGGAUAGAUCUGGAGGCUAAUAUAGGUCCUUAUCUCAUUAGUUUACUUUGCAUUAAGUUGCAUUUUGGCAACAUUCGCAAGUCUAAGUGGAUAUUGGAAGAAAUGGACAUUUGGGGAUAAAAAAUCAGAUGUUUCAGGUCUUUCCAGAUGUCCUAGGUGUGCUUAGAGUUUUAGUAUCUCAGACCAGACCCCUGAGCAGAAGCCAAUCACUCUCAUGUAUCAGUGGAUCAGGCAGUCCUUGUUUCAUGAAAACAAAUAUAGCAGAUCAUUCAGAACAAUCAAGAGUGAACACAGGAUGAGAGAGUCUUUGCCAAGUAUGUGGUUGUGGAACUGAGACAGAUUUGGUUUCCUCAUGUGCAGAAUGAAGACAGUAAUGACAACAACAUGGCAGAAGUGUGACCAGGGAGGCUCUAGGCCACGCUAUUGUCUUAACACCAAUCACUUACCAUGUGAACACCCGAGAACUGGGCAGGCUUAAGUGAGCAAACAAAGGUGUUUGGUUGUUGAAUCUGACGAUUCUAUCCUGGGGACAUUUCAGUGAUGAACUAACUUAUGUUUGGGGUAAGAAGAAAAGUGGGAAAGAUGGUGGAGUUGUUGUAUCCACCAAGGGGCUGACUUGUUUAGGUCAGCGUUUUAACAGUCUUCGUGUUUCUCAAUGGACCGAAAUGUUUGCCCAAUUUGGAUAAGGCUGAGUAGCCAAUGGGCUGCUGUAGUGAGUCCUCUGCAAAUGAGCUCAACAAAGUUUAUUGAGUGUUUACUAUGUGCUGGCCACUUGAGCAGGGCACACAGUAGCUCCCUUUGUGAAUGUCACAGACAUGCCCCAGAAGAAUGCUUGUCAGGACUAUUGUGGAAAGCAGGGUGUCAUUAAACUCCAACAAGCAUAUGUAUGGGGCAAUUAUGGGGAUGAAUAGGUUGGCAAGGGCCCCUCUGAGGAAGGUCACUUUAGGUGAGACUGGAAUGUUGAGGGGCUUGGGGGACAAAAGAGCAAGCAGGAUCAACGAGUGGCUUGUGAGAAGGCCUGACGAUGGCAAAGCUCCAUGAACUGGAGGGAGUCACCCAAGCCAGUGAGGGAGACUGGGGGAGGGUGGAAAGAGGUCAGAGAGGAAGCCUGGGAUUGGGGAUCAUAGACAAGAGGUUUAUAGGGGGAUUUCUUGAACAGAUGAGGCAGAUCUGACAUAAGCUGAUUUGAAAGGAUCAUGACCAUGGAAGGAAAAUGAACUUGAGGAGGUCAGGCUGGAGGUAAGCAGGGGACACUCAUGGGAAAGCAGGAACACCCUUCUUGGGCCAGGGGGGGAUGAGGGUGGUCAGGAGCCAGGUAAUGGCCAUGGAUAUGGAUUUGAGAAAAGUCUUGAACAUUCUAGUACAUUGGAGUUAGACUGGGUGGGAAAAUGGAGUGUGUAGUGGAAUGUCCCUCCAGUUUCUGGCAGAGAUAACUGGGUUCACCCAUCUCCUUUACUGAGAUGAGAACCUGCAGGCAGGGAAGGGCUGGUGAGGAAGACCUGGUGCUCCCUGGUUUUCUUUCAGAGACCAUAGAAUCUGCCUUUCUUUGUGCACACUGUGGCCUGGCAAGGAGAGGGCUGAAUUGUACCGAAGCCCUGUGUGAGAACAAAAUACUAAGAAGCAAUAGGUCAAUGUCCAUUCAUUUGGUCAGGGCCAGGGUCCUGGAGUUGAUUCUGGAAGCUCCUGUUGCUCAGUCUUAACCUCUCUGCUGCCAAGUUGUCGAGAGCACCUUGGCGGUCUCCUGGUGAAAAAAACACAUAGCAACUACACUGGGACUCCUCAAUGGCUCUGGCCACAUGUGAUUCACAAAUAGACAUGUAACCAUCUGGGUAGUAAAGAGCCAGUACAAAGAGCCCCAUGCACAGGGAUAGGUAUUAAUCUUGGCUCUGGCAAAGCUUUUGGUCUCCCCGCUUUUGGUCUAGAAGUUAGCCAACCUGGACAGUAGCAGUUCUUCAACAAAGGAUUGCUGAAUCUGGGCCUCUGUUUGUCCCCAUGCAGGGUGGGUCAGUGUACCUGUACCUGUCCUGUAUUUCUGGUUCUGGUCAUGCUGUUUCAUUCCUGAUAAUGGGGGUGCAUAUCCAGAAGAUAGGGCAGAGUCUGCUGGGAUUGUUUUUUGUAAGCUUUCACUUUCAAAUGGUGCAGGAGUCAGAGAAGGGUGGAUUCUCCUGUUUGGGAGCGCUUAGAGGGGGCUCAGGACCCUGUUUUGGCUCAGACCCCUGCAACCUGUUCAGGUUCUGCUUCCCCACUCAUCUGGGAACCACCUGCCUCUCAGGCAAGAAGACCCUAUGGCACCCAACGUUGGAUUUGGAAGCAGGGUUUGGGGCUCAGAGCAGCUAACUGCAAGUGCAACCUCUGAGAGCAGAUUUGGGGUCUGCUGAGAUCUCACACUACUGAGUUAGAGACAUUCCAGAAGUCUCAGCUUUCUAAGCAGCCCUGAGGAAAUGGAGGAUUGCCGCAGAGGCUCUUUGCUCUCCCGUCUCACUUCCCUCCUUCUCUUCUUCCAGUUGCCUGCUGGGGGGUCUGCAGGUAUCAUCCCAAAUAUGCCUGAGGACAUCCCGAGGAAGUACAUGCUAGAAUAAUCUCCAUUGCACAGGAAGGACACAGACCAUCCCUGAGAGGCACAAUGGCUUAUCCAGGGUCAAAAUCAGAACUGCACACCAGAGAUGGGGCAGGAGUUGAGUGAUGAGAUCCUCUGCUCAACUUCUGUGAAGGACAGGAAUAUGCCCCACACCACCAACAGGAUGCAGCACCGAACUGGCUCAGGGGUAAAAAUGCCUCAACCGUGAAUAAGAAUGAGACCAGUGUGGUGUGGACCAUCCAGGCAGGCUUGCUGGAUAAGCAAGUGUAGCAUCCUGUGCCUGUCUUCCUUGGCAGAGAUCGCUCCCCCCCCCCCCAUGUCUCCAUGUUCCUGGACAUGUACAGAACUUUUCCACUACUGAAAAGGUGCUGGAUCUGUUGAUUCCAAGGUAUGGAUGCAUCCUUCCUGAAUGUGAUGAAGAUGGCAGACCCCUGGAGCAGCAGACAAUGGCCAUCUUCUCCAUUCUGGGCACCUGGAUGGACCACUCCCCUGAGGAUUUUUUCCAACCUGCAGAAUUUCCCUGCCUGAAGAUGCUGCUGGCAUAUGUGGGGCUUAACAUGCUGGGCUCACACCUGGAGCACCAUAUGUCUGUUUUCCUCUCAUAGCUGGGACACAUGGAGCCCAAUGAGCCAGAGGUUGAGGCUAUAGCACCCGUUCCGGAGCAGGAUCCAGAACCAACUCAAGAGCUAGCCCCAGCUCCCACUGUGGUGCCUGCUGCAGCUUCAGAGCCCAAGGUGGCUGAAGCCAUCACUCCUGCUGGAGCUCAGCAAUUAGGAAAAGCAGUGACCCUCCCUGCAGUGUCAGAGCCAGUGCAGGUGGUAGUUAUAGCUAUGAUUCACUGUCAGGAGCUGGAAGAACCAUCUGCACCUUUGGCAGCCCUGGAGCAUGAGCAGGCUCCAGCCCCAGCUACUGGGGUUAUGGAAGGACUAGAACAACCACUUGCUGUAGUUGAACAACCAGCCUCAGUUCCCAAGCAGUGGCUCAUGUCGGCUGCAGCCCCAAAGGAUGGCUUCCCCUCCCGUCGUUGCUUUUUUUGAAAUUUUUGUGUUUUUUUAUUCAGAUAUGGAAUGGCUUAGUGUAUUUUGUUUUAUAAAUAAAGUAUAAAUUGACUUCAAGUAAAGUUUGACUCUGAUCCUUUUAAAUUGGAUGUUGAAGUGUCAUUAGGUACUUUGACAAUGUUGUACAACCAUGACCACUAGGUACU
Molecule: long non-coding RNA, 4845 nt
Organism: Leopardus geoffroyi (Geoffroy's cat)
Lineage: Eukaryota; Metazoa; Chordata; Mammalia; Carnivora; Felidae
Exons: 8
Source: RefSeq, a predicted model, not a curated record